RNAcentral lists this ribosomal RNA (459 nucleotides) under uncultured bacterium. Its description in RNAcentral is "partial 16S ribosomal RNA". It matches the Rfam family "Bacterial small subunit ribosomal RNA", at positions 338 to 795 of the family's 1533-position model. The record is from RNAcentral.
CCUACGGGUGGCAGCAGUGAGGAAUAUUGGUCAAUGGGCGUAAGCCUGAACCAGCCAAGUCGCGUGAGGGAUGAAGGUUCUAUGGAUCGUAAACCUCUUUUAUAAGGGAAUAAAGUGUGGGACGUGUCCUAUUUUGUAUGUACCUGAAGAAAAAGCAUCGGCUAACUCCGUGCCAGCAGCCGCGGUAAUACGGAGGAUGCGAGCGUUAUCCGGAUUUAUUGGGUUUAAAGGGUGCGCAGGCGGAAUGUCAAGUCAGCGGUAAAAUUUCGGGGCUCAACCCCGUCGUGCCGUUGAAACUGGCGUUCUUGAGUGAGCGAGAAGUAUGCGGAAUGCGUGGUGUAGCGGUGAAAUGCAUAGAUAUCACGCAGAACUCCGAUUGCGAAGGCAGUUCACUGGACUGCAACUGACACUGAGGCUCGAAAGUGUGGGUAUCAAACAGGAUUAGAUACCCGAGUAGUC